UACAGAGGUGGCAAGCGUUGUUCGGAAUUACUGGGCGUAAAGGGCGUGUAGGCGGUCUUCUAAGUCAGACGUGAAAUCCCCCGGCUUAACCUGGGAACUGCGUCUGAUACUGGGAGGCUUGAGUAUGGGAGAGGGAUGUAGAAUUCCAGGUGUAGCGGUGAAAUGCGCAGAUAUCAGGAGGAACACCGAUGGCGAAGGCAGGUCUCUGGGCCACUACUGACGCUGAGAAGCGAAAGCAUGGGGAGCGAACAGG
This 253-nucleotide ribosomal RNA is filed under the name uncultured bacterium. RNAcentral's name for it is "partial 16S ribosomal RNA". It matches the Rfam family "Bacterial small subunit ribosomal RNA", at positions 524 to 776 of the family's 1533-position model. The record is from RNAcentral.